Molecule: long non-coding RNA, 2580 nt
Organism: Salvia miltiorrhiza (redroot sage)
Lineage: Eukaryota; Viridiplantae; Streptophyta; Magnoliopsida; Lamiales; Lamiaceae
Exons: 2
Source: RefSeq, a predicted model, not a curated record
ACGAGAAUAUAAAAUAAGACAUUGGCUCAAGGAAAAUUCCCAAUUAAUGAGAAAGCAUAAUUUAACUGUGCAUGAAUCUUGUAUGCAUGAACUAACAUUCUGAGCGAUAAUCGGGAAUUCUACUAUUAAUCAUUGUUAAUAGAUUUAACUAAUUCUCGUCUAACGCGGUCGAAUAGAGCUGUGAUUCUUCAUUUCCCAUCGGAAUAUUCUAAUUGUAAAAUAGAUCUCGUAUUUGUACUCGAUCGAAAUAAAGAACUAACUCGGCUUUAAUCGAGGUGUGAUCUCAUAAAAAUUAUCGGGCUUUUCAAAAUUUAAUAAAUAAUUGAAAACAUUUCUCUUGAGUUAAGAACACCAACAAUAUUCUUACUCGUCUUUCUUUAAUAAUUGGAUUUAUAAUUAAAACCAAUUAAAUACUUUUAUUGCAAGUAAAAAUGCAAUUUCAUGUCAUGCUUAGCAUAUAAUAAGUAAUUUACUUAAAAUAUGCACAUAAUAAUAAUACAAUAUUAUUAUUAUGUAAAUCAUCUUUUGAGAAAAAUAAUUAAUUAAACUAAAUAAAUAGUCUAAUUAAUAAGUAUCCAUUUUUCUUUGAACUCCAGCCCAGUUAAAUAAUAAGAUAGCCCAUUUCUUUAAAAAAAAACAUAAGCCCAAUGUUUCAAUUUAAAUCAGGGCCCAAAGACUUUAAUAAAAUCGGUCCAAAGACUUUAAUAAAAUCGGCCCAUAGCCAAAGCCCAAUACCAUUUAAACACAAGCUCAAUCUUUUAAAAGAUAAAAGCCCAAUUAAAAUAAAUGAUGAGGCCCAAAUUCCAUUUAAAAAAAUCGGCCCAUCACUUAUUAAAAAUCGGCCCAAGACUCGGCCCAAAAUAAAGAAAUAACCCGGCCCAAUGUAAAUAAAUGCUAAAAGCCCAAUUGAAUUAACAAAAGAGGCCCAACUUCAAUUAAUUAACUAAAGCCCAAUUUCUUUUCCUCCAAGUCGGUUCUCUCUUCUUCUCCCAGCAGAACACGCUCCACUCUCUCUCAAGCAAUUCACGCCUUUCUCUAUCUAUUCUUUUUCAAACAGUCGCCGCUCAAGACAUCUCUCUCUCUCUCGCCCGCUCUACGCGAGCUCCGCCGCGAACGGCUCCGGCGAGAACGACGGCCAGCCGAGGACAUCGCCCCUGAUCUGCCGUCGCCGCUCCGUACUCUGACCAUUCCAGCCGCCGGCGAGGCCGGCGUUGCUCAGAACCCCGACGUCGGUCUGCUCCCUCAUCUCCUCUCUCUCGAUUUACCUCUCAAACUCGACUGAGAGGAGGAGCCCUAGCUUUCCCUGAGAUCGAAUCCUCCGCCGUUUCUGUAAGUCCGGCGACCGCUAGUUGUCGUCCCCCCUCCAAACUUGGUGUCUCGGCCUCAAAUCCGUGUUCGGGAAGAAGAGAGUGGAAGGGCGAGCCCUAAUCGUCAAAUACCAGGUCGCCGCUGCACCGCGUCUCCAUCAGAAUCUGAUGGCUGGUCGCCGUGGCUCUGUAAAUCCGGCAACUGACUGCCGGUUUCGUUCUCCUCCACGAAUCGCCGCCAUCUCCUUCGCGUUCCUCCGGCGACCAGGUAAAGUCCGCCUUCGUUGUUCUCCGAGGUCGACGGGGUUCGAUUUGUGCCACGCCACCGCCGCUGCUGCUACUGGAAGGCCGGCUUCGCCGUUGCUGUCGCUGUUCCCGGCGAAGGGUGUCGCCUCGCCUACUCCUCGGCGCCGUUAAAUCCCGAUUCAGAGCAGGGCAAUCGGCCCUAUUUCUUAAGCUAAGUUCUCUAGUUUCAUUCUACUAUUGUAUCUUGAUUCAUUUGCUUAUGAUGUGAAAGUUUAAUACGAGGAGUUGUGGUUUUUCCUAAUUCCGUUUAUAAGCCGUGGAAAUUUUGCUACUGUGCUAAAUGAAUAACAGCGUUGUUAUAUGCUCGUCAAUGAGCCCUGUGUUGGAUUAUGAGCUAAGGUGUAUUCUUUCUUUGUUUUGCAUAAACUCAUAUGCUUGUUGUUCUAGAGUGCAGCCUGUUUGUGAAGUUUAUACUUUCUAUUGUACGAAAUAUCUAGGCUAUUUGAUGUAGAUGAACUGUGAUAUGCUAGAUAUGGAUGCAAACUGAGUUGAAUAUUUGGGAUAUCAAAUUACCUUGAGUAUUUUGUGUUGGUAGCUGCUGUUGUUGAUAAUGAAUUCAAUGGAGAAGAAACUCUCGAUACUUGGCAGUUGGCAGCAGGAACUUCAUCUCCCUUUCUGGUGCUUGGUGUAUGAGAGAAGGAAUGAAGUAAGUGGAAAGUUUGGUGGAGAAAAAGGGUGGUGGUGCAGGCUAGUGCGUAGGUCUCAUUUUUGUUAAGUGGAGGUAGUGGUUGAUAAAUAAUUAGAUAGUGGAAGAUGAUUGUCUUAAGCAUGAUCUUCCUCCUAAAGCCAGCAAAUUCGAGAGUUUUAUUUUUUUACCCAAAUGUACUGCGUCACUCUUGCUGCCAGUGGUGAGCUUAUAUGCAAAGAUUUCUUCUUGUACUCAGAAAAAAAAUCAAUUACUGCAUUGAUUGAUAGUGGUGGUUGAAGUUCUAAUUGUAAAUAAUAAUAAAUCUUUGUGUCUUGGUUA